This is a long non-coding RNA of Lynx canadensis (Canada lynx), 352 nucleotides long. RefSeq lists it as uncharacterized. The transcript has 3 exons. Lineage: Eukaryota; Metazoa; Chordata; Mammalia; Carnivora; Felidae. The record is from RefSeq and is a predicted model, not a curated record.
AUCGCCCAAAGCAUCUGAUGCGCAGGUCGCGGAGGGAGUUAACAGCGAAAGAAGCAGGAGUGGGCAGGCACUCCCAGACUGGCUGGGAAGGCAGCACUCAAAGGAAAUCCAGGGAACCUGGAUCCAGAGCAACCUCGGUCUCAGGCCAGCAUACAUCUGGUGACAGAUGCAGAGCAGGCCAGAGUGCCCGGAUGGUGUGAGACAACAGCGUGGCUCCGUGUUUCCCACACACAGAGCUCCGAGACCACAGCGGUGACAAAAGAGAAGUCCUUUGAAGAGUCCCUGCUCCCCAUGGCUCCAAAGCUGCCUGCUGUGAAGGAGUAGAGAGAGACAGAGCACAAGUUGGGGAGGG